RNAcentral lists this ribosomal RNA (253 nucleotides) under uncultured prokaryote. Its description in RNAcentral is "partial 16S ribosomal RNA". It matches the Rfam family "Bacterial small subunit ribosomal RNA", at positions 524 to 776 of the family's 1533-position model. The record is from RNAcentral.
GACAGAGGGGGUAAGCGUUGCUCGGAAUCACUGGGCGUAAAGGGCGCGUAGGCGGGAUGGCAAGUCGGUCGUGAAAUCCUUCGGCUCAACCGAAGAACGUCGGCCGAUACUGCCGUUCUUGAGGGAUGCAGAGGAGAUUGGAAUUCCCGGUGUAGCGGUGAAAUGUGUAGAGAUCGGGAGGAACACCGGUGGCGAAGGCGGGUUGCUGGGCUGACACUGACGCUGAUGCGCGAAAGCCAGGGGAGCAAACGGG